UACGGAGGGUGCGAGCGUUGUCCGGAAUCAUUGGGCGUAAAGGGCGCGUAGGUGGCCCGGUCAGCGUGCGGUGAAAGCUCGGGGCUCAACCCCGAGUCGGCCGUGCGAACUGCUGGGCUCGAGCACUGUAGAGGCAGGCGGAAUUCCGGGUGUAGCGGUGGAAUGCGUAGAGAUCCGGAAGAACGACCGGUGGCGAAGGCGGCUUCCUGGCCCGUACCUGACGCUGAGGCGCGAAAGCGUGGGGAGCAAACAGG
RNAcentral lists this ribosomal RNA (254 nucleotides) under uncultured bacterium. Its description in RNAcentral is "partial 16S ribosomal RNA". It matches the Rfam family "Bacterial small subunit ribosomal RNA", at positions 524 to 776 of the family's 1533-position model. The record is from RNAcentral.